GCUAAGAGAGGGAGAAAAGGUAAAUCGAUUUUGUUCACGGAACCAACCCUGUUGCCCUUCACCAGGGCUGGAACAGGAAGAUAGGAAUUGACCGGGGUGGCAGUUGAUUCUUACUUCAACACUGAUGAUGGGACAGCAUCUUCCACCACACCUGAGGACAGGAAGCUAACUUAGAAGACCUGCUCUACAGCCUGCCCUGAGCUCCCUAUCACCUCAUCCCCGACCCCCAGCAUCUAACGCUUGAGGCAGCCCCUUUACUCUACCUAAUGGUAGGGCUGGCCCUGAACACUUAGAUGAUAGCUUGUAUCCUGUUCUGUUGGGGCUUGGGGUCCUCAGGGGAAGUGGUAAUGAAUACUUCAUCUACCAGGUCAGUCAGGACCCUGAGGAGCUCCUAGAAGGCCCUGCUUGCUGAGUUUGGGAAGAUGUUUCAGCAAAUGUGUAGAGUCAUCUGAAGCCUUUAAAAAGGCUUGAACUUCCCGUGGCUCUGCACCUCUGGGACAGGUGUACCUGUUUUGCAGUCAUAUGCUCCUGUGUGGUUGUGGAACAGGAGACGUUAUCAUCUUCAGACUCCGAGGAUUAUGAGUCAUGUCCUCAAGCUGGGGCAGUGUAUAAGAGUGUGCUGAGGGUUCCCCUCUGAGUGAAGAUUCUUAUCUGAAUCUGAGUCCUUCUGAGGGACUCUGAGGUGGGGGACAUGACAGCUUGGUGGAUUUGUACUACAUCUUGGGUUGAGGAUGGAGGCAUUUUUCUACUUAUAUGAGGAAUGCAACCAACUCACUAGAUUAGAUUAUUUAUUUGUUUGUUUGUUCCCUUAACCAUCUUUCAUUAAAAAAUUCCAAGGUGUUGUACAACA
Molecule: long non-coding RNA, 850 nt
Organism: Rhineura floridana
Lineage: Eukaryota; Metazoa; Chordata; Lepidosauria; Squamata; Rhineuridae
Exons: 2
Source: RefSeq, a predicted model, not a curated record